GGGCCCGUAGCUCAGCAAGGCAGAGCGGCGGACUAACCACCCGUAGGUCGCGGGUUCAAUUCCCGCCGGGCCCGCCA
This 77-nucleotide transfer RNA is filed under the name Candidatus Bathyarchaeota archaeon. Its description in RNAcentral is "tRNA-Val". It matches the Rfam family "tRNA". Rfam says of the family: Transfer RNA (tRNA) molecules are approximately 80 nucleotides in length. Their secondary structure includes four short double-helical elements and three loops (D, anti-codon, and T loops). Lineage: Archaea; Thermoproteati; Candidatus Bathyarchaeota. The record is from RNAcentral.